AGCUCUUCACUGCUCCGUCUGCAUGCCAUUAUAAAACAAAUCCUCAAUAUUAGAUAAUCUAUUAGCAUGUCAUUGUUCUUAAUAUACUGACUCCCAUUAUUUUAACAUCUCAUUAGUAUCCCAUUUGGCAAACACAGCAAUUGAUAAUAGUGGAUUCAGUAAAACAACUUUUCAACAAUUACAAAGUACUGGUAAGAAAAUAUUAAACAGUGAUAAACUAUAGUUGUCCAUACAUUCGAAUGUCACUGGAAAAAAUAUGAAGAGGCUGAAGGCUAUAGUCAUAGAGAACAGAGUUAUUCCAGUAUGCAGGAAGUUAUUUACAACACAAGGGAGCAAUCAAAAGCAUCAAAAGCUACCUAGCCUAUACAAAGUCAGACAUAAAAUUUGGAAGUCGUUUAAAGGGGGAUGGUUGUGUGGUAUAGAUCUAAGUAGGAAACCUGAAAGGCAGAUUACAAUUCAAAGAAUGGUGGGUCCAUGCAUCCCUUAUCUCCCUCAAUUCCAUACCUGUCAUCACAAUAGAAGUAAGAAGAUUGUACAAGAAUCAGUGGUAAAUAAGGUAAAGGACUAACUACUUACUUGGACGUGUAAUCUGAGUCAGGGACCUAAAACUCUCUUUAAACACCAAAAAGUAGAACCAUCCCAGUUUCAGAAUAAUGCGGCUGAAAAUAGUAUAAACAAAGGAAGAAAGGUUGAAAUUUUGAAGGAGGAGAUAAGACCAUGGAGUUUGUUAUUUGAGUUAACUGAAGCAAAACACUCACUUUUGGGAGCUGUUAGUACUCAUGGAGCUGACAGGCAAAGAGUUGAUGAUUCCAAGGACAAGAAGCACGAAUUGAUGAUCAUGGAAGCUCAAAUGGAG
Molecule: long non-coding RNA, 856 nt
Filed under: Capsicum annuum
Lineage: Eukaryota; Viridiplantae; Streptophyta; Magnoliopsida; Solanales; Solanaceae
Description: long non-coding RNA (CANN_LNC010959)
Source: RNAcentral